UACGUAGGGUGCGAGCGUUGUCCGGAAUUAUUGGGGGUAAAGAGCUUGUAGGCGGUCUGUCGCGUCUGCUGUGAAAAUCCGGGGCUCAACCCCGGACUUGCAGUGGGUACGGGCAGACUAGAGUGUGGUAGGGGAGACUGGAAUUCCUGGUGUAGCGGUGAAAUGCGCAGAUAUCAGGAGGAACACCGAUGGCGAAGGCAGGUCUCUGGGCCACUACUGACGCUGAGAAGCGAAAGCAUGGGGAGCGAACAGG
Molecule: ribosomal RNA, 253 nt
Filed under: uncultured bacterium
Lineage: Bacteria
Description: partial 16S ribosomal RNA
Rfam family: Bacterial small subunit ribosomal RNA
Source: RNAcentral